RNAcentral lists this long non-coding RNA (3232 nucleotides) under Homo sapiens (human). RNAcentral's name for it is "HSALNT0260524". The record is from RNAcentral. Lineage: Eukaryota; Metazoa; Chordata; Mammalia; Primates; Hominidae.
GACAGGGUGACGUUGCCCCCUCGACGGCCCAGGGAGGGAUGGAUGUGAUCGUCAGCUGAGCAGACACCUGCUUCUUGCAGAGGCUCAGGAAGAAGGCAAAGGGAGGAAGCAAAGAGCACUAUCACAGAGGCCACUUAGCAGCAUUCGACAGUAGACUCAGCCACUGCUAGAGUCUCACUCAUCGGAGUUAAACUGUGGGAGUGGGAAGAGCAUGUGCAAAGGCCCUGAGGCAGGAGGAAGAUCAUUGUUUUUGAGGGAAAAGCAGGGAAGCCAGUGUGGUUGGAGUUGAGUAAGUGAAAAUGAAAGAGGUAAGAGAUAAAGUCAGAGAGGUAAGAGAGACAGAUCACACUUACAACUGGCAUUGACAUUUUUGGCAAGACAAUUAUUCAUCUUGUGGAUCCGUCCUGUGCAUUGCAAGGAGUUUUUAACACCACUUGCUCUCCCUACUACAACAGCAGCAGCUCCUUCCAGGCAUUGAGACAACCAGAGAACAUUCCCACACAUUGUCAAAUACCCGCUAGGGGGCAGUAUUAGCUCUGGUUUGGAACAUCAUGCAGGCUCUUGCAGAUAAUUAUACGAGUUUUUUUGUUUUUGUUUUAGUUUUUGUUUUUGUUUUUUUGCCACAGAGUCUCGCUCUGUCACUCAGGCUGGAGUGUGCCAGCUUGAUCAUGGUUUACUGCAACCUCCGCCUCCCGGGUUCAAGUGAUUGUCGUGCCUCAGCCUCCCGAGUAGCUGGGACCACAGGCAUGCGCCACCAUGCCCAGCUAAUGUUUAUAUUUUUUUUGUAGAGUCAGGGUUUUGCCACGUUGACCAGACUGGUCUUGAACUCCUGGGCUCAAGUGAUCCUUGUGCCUUGGCUUCCCAAAGUGCUGGGAUUAUAGGCAUGAGCCACCGCACCAGCCUGUAAGGACUUUUCGUUGUAUUCUGAGGGAGUCAGAGAACCACUGGAGAGUUUUGAGUUAAAGAUUAACACGAUGUACCUUAUAUUCUGAUCAUUCUGGCUGCAGAUUGCAUUGAUUUUGGAGCUCAAGGGUAGAGUUGCAACAUUGCUCAGCUCCACGAAGUGAGCUGCCAUUCACAUUGUAGUUAAUGCAAAUGCUACUUCCAGCAACUGUGCAGUGCACAACCCAUACAGCUAUAUGUGGUGACCCCAGGCAAGGCAGAAGCAGGAGACACCAUUUAGGAGGUGACUGCAACAAUCCAGAUUCCUCCAGGCUCUGCCAUCACAGAAGGUCCAGCCCCAGUGCUGCUUUGGCCAGAAAGAAUGCUUGGCACUGCAUUUGCUGACAAGGAGUGUGGCCUGUGUUUAUCCCAGAGGUGGGUGAGGCAGCCUCUGCUGGUUCCAGAGGUCCCCUCUGCCACCUGAGGCGCCAGCCAUGCAGUGCUGGUCCUAGGUGGGGUUACAGAGGUAUUGACACCAGCCUGGUCUCUGGGUUAAUUUUUGUUAAGGGCCUGCGACCCAGUGUGGAGGGGUUGAUAUUGCGCAGCCUUGAAGGACGUGGACAUGAGCUUAUCAGAACAAGUGAUAGCAAGAUAAAAGAUCAAAGUAGGCUCUUUGCCUCAGAUUCUGCAUGGCAGCAAUUUCCACCAGCAGGGUCCAAAGACCCAAAAUGAACAAGGAAAGCAACCUCCUGAAGGGACACUUGGUAAUCACCUUGAUCUUUGGUUUUCAAAGUCUGCAGUCCACUUGGAAAGCAAGGUACAGGGGCAGAGAGAGUUGACAAAUAUGUACUGCUUGAUGAAUAUGGAAGAAACAAAGAAAACAGAAGUUUGAAAACCACCGACCUAGAAUUUUUAAAUGACGACACCCAGUGCUAGCGAUCUCUGGAGAACAGUUUUGCAAGAUGCAUCCAAAAACAUACACAUGUACACUCUCUUUGACCCCACCGUUCCUCUUACAUUUAUCUUAAGAUAAUCAUUAUAGAUAUGUGAACAUAUUUACUUCUGGGAUAAUCAUGACAGCAUUGUUUAUAGCAGGAAAUAAAGUGGAAACAACAUAUAUUCUGUCUGCAGAGAAACAGAAGCAAUCUAUUCUCUCUCUCUGUGUGUAUAUAUACGUGUGUGUGUGUGUGUGUGUGUGUGUGUAAAAUACAACAACAAAACUGUUCACCAAUGAUCAGGUGCUGUCCUGUUACAUGGUGAACGCAUUUUAUCUUUCCCACAGUCCUAGAAGUUAGAUACAACUAUCAUCAUCUCCAUUUAUCAUAUGGAGAAGUUGAGACACAGAAUCACUGGCCCAAAGUCACAUGGAUGAUAAGAGGCAGAACCAGGAUUUGAACCUUUGCAGGCUGGAUCCACUGUUCAUGGUCCUUCCCAUUCCACUGUUUUACCUCUCAAAUUUGGAAACAUUAUUCUACCUGCCAGUUGUUCAGCAGUUACUAUCGCCAGGCAUACACUGAAUUAUCUCAGUUAAUUCUCACUCCAUGAAGCAGGAUCUCUUGCUGUCCCCAUUUUAUAGAUAGAAAAACUGACGCUCAGAGAAGAAGAGUCAUUUGUUCAAGUCAUACAGUUAGUAAAUGACAGAGCCAGUUACGCUGCAAGUUACCCAGAUUUCAAGGAUAAGCGGUAUGUAGUAAAAAUACAUCAUGCUAUGAGAAUUAGAGAUGUUCUUCUGAAGAUCUGAUGUUUCAUCUGUGAUCUAAAGGAUGGGUCAGAAUUAAGUAGACAAAGACAGUGAGGAAGAGUGUAAUGACUGGAGCUCCAGCAGCCAUUCUGAAUGACGAACUGACUUAAGGAAGGAAGCUAUGUCUGAUAUAAUGGAACAGAAACAUAGAAGGAGCUUGCGUGGAACAGGAAUCAAAAGAAAUUAAAGACUGUCUAAGCAAAAACUCAGUUGUAUGUAAGAAAACCCAAUUCCCCUUGAGGAAGAGAAACAGCUGGAGUCCUUUAAAAUUAACUGCCUGUUUUUCUGUCUGUGGCUAGUGAGCCUUAUCGCUCCCUUUCCCAGGCAUUGUGAAGACUCUUUCUCUAGCUGUGCAGCUGCAAGGUCAUUAGACAGAUAAUCUCAAGUCGUAAAACAUAUUAUUCCUUGAAAAGUAAGAAAUAAUGUAAUGCAUGUCUUAACUGAAUAACUGUUUUUAAUUCUUGCUUCUGUAAUACGCUUCCCCCUGCACAGAACUCCCCCCACCCCACGAAAUGCUUAAAAGGUAGCUUGACUCUUUGUUCGGGGCUCAGUCCUUUGGAUGUUAAUCUGACUGGGUCGGUGCACCUAAAUAAUUAAAUAAUUCCUCCU